CUCAGUAUCACGCGGACAAUCUGCCUAAGGUGAGGGAUAAUCUCGGGAAACUGAGCAUAAUACCUCAUAGGUCAUGGAUGCUGAAAUGCUUCAUGGUCAAAAGCUCGGGCGCGUUAGGAUGAGUCUGCGGCCUAUCAGGUCGUAGUGGGUGUAACGGACCCACUACCCAACGACGGGUACGGGCGUUGGGAGACGUCGCCCGACAGAUGGAUUCUGAGACACGCAAUCCAGCCCCUACGGGGCGCAGCAGUCGCGAAAACUUGGCAAUGGGGGAAACCCCGACCAGGGGAAUCCAAGUGCUUGCACUUUGUGUAAGCUGUUCGGUUGUCUAAAAAACAACCGAAGGAAGGGCUGGGUAAGACAGGUCCCAGCCGCCCCGGUAAUACCCGCAGCCCGAGUGGUGAUCGAUUUUAUCGAGCCUAAAGCGUCCGUAACCGGUCUAGUAAACCCUUGGAUAAAUUGGACAGCUUAACUGUCCUAAUUCCGAGGGUACUGCUAGACUUGGGACCGGGAGAGGUCAGAGGUACUCCAGGGGUAGGGGCUAAAUCCGAUAUGGUUUCGCACCAUUCGGUUAGCAUUCCUGUAAUCCUUGGGGGACCACCAGUGGCGAAGGCGUCUGACUAGAACGGAUCCGACGGUAAGGGACGAAACCCUGGGGCGCAAACCGGAUUAGAUACCCGGGUAGUCCAGGGCGUAAACGCUGCAGGCUUGGUGUUGGGGACCCUACGAGGGUACCCAGUGCCGGAGUGAAGAUGUUAAGCCAGCCGCUUGGGGAGUACGUCCGCAAGGAUGAAACUAAAG
Molecule: ribosomal RNA, 801 nt
Filed under: uncultured archaeon
Lineage: Archaea
Description: bacterial SSU rRNA
Rfam family: Archaeal small subunit ribosomal RNA
Source: RNAcentral